GACAGAGGUGCCAAGCGUUAGGCGGAAUCACUGGGCUUAAAGCGUGUGUAGGCGGGUGCCUAAGUACCUUGUGAAAUCCCACGGCUCAACCGUGGAACUGCUGGGUAUACUGGGUGCCUUGGGUCAUCUAGGGGCUGCCGGGAACAAAUGGUGGAGCGGUGAAAUGCGUAGAUAUCAUUGGAACGCCAACGGCGAAAGCAGGCAGCUGGGGAUGCACCGACGCUGAGACACGAAAGCCAGGGGAGCGAACGGG
This 253-nucleotide ribosomal RNA is filed under the name uncultured bacterium. RNAcentral's name for it is "partial 16S ribosomal RNA". It matches the Rfam family "Bacterial small subunit ribosomal RNA", at positions 524 to 776 of the family's 1533-position model. The record is from RNAcentral.